RNAcentral lists this long non-coding RNA (270 nucleotides) under Nicotiana benthamiana. RNAcentral describes it as "long non-coding RNA (NBEN_LNC011904)". Lineage: Eukaryota; Viridiplantae; Streptophyta; Magnoliopsida; Solanales; Solanaceae. The record is from RNAcentral.
CAGAGGGACGUCCCUCGUUCUUCAUCUUCUUCAGCAAAGAGAACCCAAUUUUAUGCAAAAAAGAGCUGCGCAGAGGAACCCUACCCUCGUUAUUCACCUUCUUCAGCAAAGUGAACCCAAAUUUGUGCAAAAAAGAGCUGCGCAGACGAUCUCCGAAACACGCAUGCACACAGUGCUGGUUGCGAAAAACGAAGAUGGAUCGAGGUUUUCGAGUUCGAGUCGCCUGAUUACUGUUGGAGGUUGAAGUCUCAGUUAUUGGCGUUUUAACAC